This 376-nucleotide ribosomal RNA is filed under the name uncultured bacterium. Its description in RNAcentral is "bacterial SSU rRNA". It matches the Rfam family "Bacterial small subunit ribosomal RNA", at positions 28 to 407 of the family's 1533-position model. The record is from RNAcentral.
GACGAACGCUGGCGGCGUGCUUAACACAUGCAAGUCGAGCGGUAAGGCCCUUUUGGGGGGUACACGAGCGGCGAACGGGUGAGUAACACGUGGGUGACCUGCCCUCAGCUCUGGGAUAAGCCUGGGAAACUGGGUCUAAUACUGGAUAUGACCUUUCCUCGCAUGGGGUUGGGUGGAAAGUUUUUCGGCUGGGGAUGGGCCCGCGGCCUAUCAGCUUGUUGGUGGGGUGAUGGCCUACCAAGGCGACGACGGGUAGCCGGCCUGAGAGGGCGACCGGCCACACUGGGACUGAGACACGGCCCAGACUCCUACGGGAGGCAGCAGUGGGGAUAUUGCGCAAUGGGCGGAAGCCUGACGCAGCGACGCCGCGUGGGGA